GAUGAACGCUGGCGGCGUGCUUAACACAUGCAAGUCGAACGAAGCACCUCUAAUUGAAGAUUGACGAAGCUUGCUUCUGAUUGAUUCGCCUUGAGGUGACUGAGUGGCGGACGGGUGAGUAACGCGUGGGUAACCUACCCUAUACAGGGGGAUAACAGUUGGAAACAGCUGCUAAUACCGCAUAAGCGCACACUGACGCAUGUCAGAGUGUGAAAAACUCCGGUGGUACAGGAUGGACCCGCGUCUGAUUAGCUUGUUGGCGGGGUAACGGCCCACCAAGGCGACGAUCAGUAGCCGGCCUGAGAGGGUGAACGGCCACAUUGGGACUGAGACACGGCCCAGACUCC
RNAcentral lists this ribosomal RNA (347 nucleotides) under uncultured Lachnospiraceae bacterium. Its description in RNAcentral is "bacterial SSU rRNA". It matches the Rfam family "Bacterial small subunit ribosomal RNA", at positions 28 to 339 of the family's 1533-position model. The record is from RNAcentral. Lineage: Bacteria; Bacillati; Bacillota; Clostridia; Lachnospirales; Lachnospiraceae.